UGGACGAAAGUCUGAUGGAGCAACGCCGCGUGAGCGAAGAAGGCCUUCGGGUCGUAAAGCUCUGUUGUUAGGGAAGAACAAGUAUCGGAGUAACUGCCGGUACCUUGACGAUACCUAACCAGAAAGCCACGGCUAACUACGUGCCAGCAGCCGCGGUAAUACGUAGGUGGCAAGCGUUGUCCGGAAUUAUUGGGCGUAAAGCGCGCGCAGGCGGUCCUUUAAGUCUGAUGUGAAAGCCCACGGCUCAACCGUGGAGGGUCAUUGGAAACUGGGGGACUUGAGUGCAGAAGAGGAAAGCGGAAUUCCACGUGUAGCGGUGAAAUGCGUAGAGAUGUGGAGGAACACCAGUGGCGAAGGCGGCUUUCUGGUCUGUAACUGACGCUGAGGCGCGAAAGCGUGGGGAGCAAACAGGAUUAGAUACCCUGGUAGUCCACGCCGUAAACGAUGAGUGCUAAGUGUUAGGGGGUUUCCGCCCCUUAGUGCUGCAGCUAACGCAUUAAGCACUCCGCCUGGGGAGUACGG
RNAcentral lists this ribosomal RNA (522 nucleotides) under uncultured bacterium. RNAcentral describes it as "bacterial SSU rRNA". It matches the Rfam family "Bacterial small subunit ribosomal RNA", at positions 372 to 885 of the family's 1533-position model. The record is from RNAcentral.